RNAcentral lists this long non-coding RNA (897 nucleotides) under Mus pahari (shrew mouse). RNAcentral's name for it is "ArfGAP with dual PH domains 2, opposite strand (MGP_PahariEiJ_G0002579.1)". Lineage: Eukaryota; Metazoa; Chordata; Mammalia; Rodentia; Muridae. The record is from RNAcentral.
CGGCAGGGUGACCUCUGCUAAGGAUCCCAGGACAGUGUUUUCUUGUGAGAAAAAGGACAAGGGUGUGAGGGAAUCUGCCCAGAGGGUAGAACCAGCCUCUACAGUUCUGCUAGGGCCAGACUCCUCCUGAAGUUCAGGAGGAUGGCUGCAUAGAGGAACUUGGUGGAAAAGGGACAUUUUGGCAAAAAAAAAAAAAAGCUGAGUCAGGCCCCCCUGGGACCUCAGUGAAGGAGCCCUUUUCUGCCCUCACCCAAAAGAACCCCCACCCAUCCCCCACUUCUCACUGAGGAGGUGGAGGGGCGACAAGGGACUGGACAAGACGCCCCGCAGACUCUCCAGCCAUUCUCGCUGUUCCUUUUCAGUGGGGCAGGUGAAGAUGAAUUUCCGCUCCGGAGUGAUGACGAAAAACCUGGCCCUGCUCAAAAGCAUCCUGAAAAUGGAAGGCAUAGAGUCAUCAGAGGCUGCCUUGGGGCAGGAGAGCCCUUGCAGCCGGGCCCGUCCCAAGGUCAAGUUUGGUAAAGAGGUGUACGUGGUCCAAAGGUUAGGACUGAAUGGCCUGGUCCCAGGAGUGACCUAGAACUGUACAUCUGACCCAAACAGGUCACCUGGAGCUCUGGGUUGCUCUGGGCUGCAUGGGCCAAAGGGAGCGAAAGUUAGAGACUGACUGGAAGCCCUCUCUGGGCCAUGCUGGGCAGCACAGCAUGCACCUGCAAGUGGAUUUGCUGCCAGCUGCAGGUAGAAGUCAGCCUGAGAGAAAGAUGGCUGACAAGAGCCAUGAGAGUAUAGACCCUGUCAUGCUUGAGCCCCUGGUGUGCCUUCUCCAUCCUUUUCCUUGGUCAUAUUUGAGCUUCUGGUAUCAUGAUCCUCUUCUUCAUCCUCUCUCUUGUUUCUUCUUUU